RNAcentral lists this ribosomal RNA (250 nucleotides) under uncultured bacterium. RNAcentral describes it as "partial 16S ribosomal RNA". It matches the Rfam family "Bacterial small subunit ribosomal RNA", at positions 524 to 773 of the family's 1533-position model. The record is from RNAcentral.
UACGAAGGGGGCAAGCGUUGCUCGGAAUGACUGGGCGUAAAGGGCGCGUAGGCGGUUGUAACAGUCAGAUGUGAAAUUCCUGGGCUUAACCUGGGGGCUGCAUUUGAUACGUUGCGACUAGAGUGUGAGAGAGGGUUGUGGAAUUCCCAGUGUAGAGGUGAAAUUCGUAGAUAUUGGGAAGAACACCGGUGGCGAAGGCGGCAACCUGGCUCAUGACUGACGCUGAGGCGCGAAAGCGUGGGGAGCAAAC